Molecule: ribosomal RNA, 492 nt
Filed under: uncultured bacterium
Lineage: Bacteria
Description: partial 16S ribosomal RNA
Rfam family: Bacterial small subunit ribosomal RNA
Source: RNAcentral
AGUGAACGCUGGCGGUAGGCCUAACACAUGCAAGUCGAACGGCAGCACAGUAAGAGCUUGCUCUUACGGGUGGCGAGUGGCGGACGGGUGAGGAAUACAUCGGAAUCUACUUUUUCGGGGGGGAUAACGGAGGGAAACUGACGCUAAUACCGCAUACGACCUACGGGUGAAAGCAGGGGAUCUUCGGACCUUGCGCGACUGAAUGAGCCGAUGUCGGAUUAGCUAGUUGGCGGGGUAAAGGCCCACCAAGGCGACGAUCCGUAGCUGGUCUGAGAGGAUGAUCAGCCACCCUGGAACUGAGACACGGUCCAGACUCCUACGGGAGGCAGCAGUGGGGAAUCUUGGACAAUGGGCGCAAGCCUGAUCCAGCCAUACCGCGUGGGUGAAGAAGGCCUUCGGGUUGUAAAGCCCUUUUGUUGGGAAAGAAAAGCAGCAGGUUAAUACCCCGCUGUUCUGACGGUACCCAAAGAGUAAGCACCGGCUAACUUCGUG